GACGAACGCUGGCGGCGUGCUUAACACAUGCAAGUCGAACGGAAAGGCCCUGCUUUUGUGGGGUGCUCGAGUGGCGAACGGGUGAGUAACACGUGAGUAACCUGCCCUUGACUUUGGGAUAACUUCAGGAAACUGGGGCUAAUAACGGAUAGGAGCUCCUGCUGCAUGGUGGGGGUUGGAAAGUUUCGGCGGUUGGGGAUGGGCUCGCGGCUUAUCAGCUUGUUGGUGGGGUAGUGGCUUACCAAGGCUUUGACGGGUAGCCGGCCUGAGAGGGUGACCGGCCACAAUGGGACUGAGGUACGGCCCAGACUCCUACGGGAGGCAGCGGUGGGGAAUAUUGCACAAUGGGCGGAAGCCUGAUGCAGCAACGCCGCGUGCGGGAUGACGGCCUUCGGGUUGUAAACCGCUUUCGCCUGUGACGAAGCGUGAGUGACGGUAAUGGGUAAAGAAGCACCGGCUAACUACGUG
Molecule: ribosomal RNA, 468 nt
Filed under: uncultured bacterium
Lineage: Bacteria
Description: partial 16S ribosomal RNA
Rfam family: Bacterial small subunit ribosomal RNA
Source: RNAcentral